RNAcentral lists this long non-coding RNA (499 nucleotides) under Triticum aestivum (bread wheat). RNAcentral describes it as "long non-coding RNA (TAES_LNC023223)". Lineage: Eukaryota; Viridiplantae; Streptophyta; Magnoliopsida; Poales; Poaceae. The record is from RNAcentral.
CAUGGCUGCCGCUGCUGCGCGCGCGCGGACGAAGUCCCGGAGCCCAUGUACCGCGCGGAGGUCCGCAACUGAGCACACGAGAUGCAGCUAUACGUACCUACGUGUGCGUACAACUCUACGUGAUGUUGUUCUGCACACGUACGUAUAGUAAGUUGCUGGUAAAUAUGGUCUCUGAUAAAUAAAGUGAGUAACCAUGCAAAAAAAAUAAAAAAAUAAAGUGCGUACGUAUACCGUAUACGUACGAGAGCCCGGUUUGCACUUUGCACAAUGAUCUUGGAGAACACACGCCCCUCUGUGUUCUUGUAUGUAUUAAUACCCCACACUAUAUAUGUUCUCCAUGUAUGUAUCAAAUUCCAUGUUUACAGUUAUGGGAAUAUGUUAUUGUGGAAUAAAAUCAUAGAGGAAUAUAGCCAAAGUUCUACACGGAACACUUAAUUCCUUCUGUAUGCCGUAUUUCAAUGCUGCAAAGAAAAUAGAGGAAGAUAAUAGACAAAGAAAU